This is a long non-coding RNA of Rosa chinensis, 1839 nucleotides long. RefSeq lists it as uncharacterized. The record is from RefSeq and is a predicted model, not a curated record. The transcript has 3 exons. Lineage: Eukaryota; Viridiplantae; Streptophyta; Magnoliopsida; Rosales; Rosaceae.
UCAUCUAAUAGUCACCAAUUCCAAUUCCCAACAUUCGUGGUGUUAUUCGACUUAAAAUUUGAGUUGGAUUAAUUCGUCUAUUACUUUAUAUCGGUGCAAUUGGCUAAAAUUAGCCUAGCAAGCAAAGAACCUCAGCCCCAAAUUUCAAUUCCUCUUGUUCUCUAGUCGACACUUCUCGCCCAAUCCCAAAUCAACUAUUUGAUUCCAGAAACACUCAUACCGUUCUUGAAACAAAUUUACUCAAAUAGAAAGUAGAUAAGAGAAAGUAGAUAGCAGUUUCAUUUAUGAUCAACAGAUUACUUUUCUUAUGUCAUGUUGUGAAUUUCAGGCGCUUUGUAAUGGUUUGCUUGUGGACCCUCAUGAUCAGCAAUCAAUUGCUAAUGCACUGCUGAAGUUGUUAUCAGAAAAGAAUUUAUGGGUUGAGUGCAGAAAGAAUGGUUGGAAAAACAUACACCUUUUCUCAUGGCCUGAACACUGCCGAACCUACUUGACUAGAGUAGCAGCCUGCCGCAUGAGACAUCCACAGUGGCAGACUGACACCCCAGAGGAUGAAAUGGCUGCUGAAGAGUCCCUCAAUGAUUCUAUUAAGGACGUGCAAGAUAUGUCUCUUAGGCUCUCAGUUGAUGGGGGCAAAUCCUCACUGAAUGAAUCUCUUGAUGUGACUGCAGCUUCUGGUGACCAUGAGGUGCAAGAUCAAGUGAAGCGUGUCCUAAGCAAGAUCAAGAAACCAGAUUCUGGUCCAGAAGACCAUGAAGAUGGAAAUAAGCUGCCGGAUAAUGUAGCAAGCAAAUAUCCCUUGUUAAGACGUAGAAGAAAAUUGAUUGUCAUAGCGCUUGAUUGCUAUGACAAAUCUGGAGCUCCUGAAAAGAAAAUGAUUCAAGUUGUGCAAGAAAUAUUUAAGGCUGUAAGACUAGAUUCUCAAAGUGCAAGAUUUACAGGGUUUUACGGCUAUUCCAGCAUCAGAAGCAGUGGAGUUUCUGGCAUCAGGGAGGAUACAGGCAAAUGAGUUUGAUGCGUUGGUUUGUAGCAGUGGAAGUGAGGUUUACUACCUGGUACUUAUACUGAAGAAGAUGGAAGACUUUUCCCAGAUCCAGAUUAUUCGUCACACAUUGACUACCGAUGGGGUUGCGAAGGAUUAAAGAAAACCAUUUGGAAGCUCUUAAAUGGCCCUGAUGGUGAACGGAAUUCCACAUCUUCGAGCCACAUUGAAGAAGAUAUAAAAUAAAGCAGUGCCCAUUGCAUCUCAUACUUAAUCAAGGAUCCUAGUAAGGCAAGGAAAGUUGAUGAUUUAAGACAAACUCAGGAUGCGUGGACUACGCUGCCAUCCAAUGUACUGCAGGAGCUCAACACGAAUGCAAAUUGUUCCUCUCCUUGCUUCUCGAGCACAGGCUCUCAGGUACCUUUUUGUACCCUGGAGAUUGAAUGUUGCAAACAUGUAUGUGUUCCUUGGAGAAAGUGGAGACACCGAUUAUGAAGAAAUGAUAGCAGGGACUCGCAAGACCAUAAUCAUGAAGGGUGGUGGGAAAGGGUUCUGAAGAGCUGCUAAGAACAUCAGGAAGCUACCUGAGAGACGACAUUGUUCUGCCUCAGAGCCCACUGCUCGCCAUUGUAUAUGGGCAAGCUCCAACAGCUGAUGAGAUUGCCACUGCUCUGAAGCAAGUCACCAAAUCUGCCACUGGAAUGUGAUUAUGUGAUGUGACUUGAAUGUGGAUUUAUGUACCUUUUGAGACGAAACGAGGCCUCCAUCAAGAAUAAAGGCGGACAAUGAAACACAUCUAAACAAGGCCUAUUACUAAGAACUCAGCUAACCAACUGGUGCGGCGCCACUGCGUUCCUUUC